CGGGUGCGUAACGCGUAUAGAACCUACCUUUUACAGAGGAAUAGCCUUUAGAAAUGAAGAUUAAUGCCUCAUAGUAUUGUAGACUGGCAUCAGUUUAUAAUUAAAGAUUUAUCGGUAAAAGAUGGCUAUGCGUCCUAUUAGUUAGUUGGUAAGGUAACGGCUUACCAAGACAGCGAUAGGUAGGGGUCCUGAGAGGGAGAUCCCCCACACUGGUACUGAGACACGGACCAGACUCCUACGGGAGGCAGCAGUGAGGAAUAUUGGACAAUGGAGGAGACUCUGAUCCAGCCAUGCCGCGUGUAGGAAGAAUGCCCUAUGGGUUGUAAACUACUUUUAUACAGGAAGAAACACUGGUAUGUAUACCAGCUUGACGGUACUGUAAGAAUAAGGACCGG
RNAcentral lists this ribosomal RNA (395 nucleotides) under uncultured Polaribacter sp. RNAcentral's name for it is "bacterial SSU rRNA". It matches the Rfam family "Bacterial small subunit ribosomal RNA", at positions 103 to 496 of the family's 1533-position model. The record is from RNAcentral. Lineage: Bacteria; Pseudomonadati; Bacteroidota; Flavobacteriia; Flavobacteriales; Flavobacteriaceae.